This 107-nucleotide small nuclear RNA is filed under the name Vulpes vulpes (red fox). Lineage: Eukaryota; Metazoa; Chordata; Mammalia; Carnivora; Canidae. The record is from RNAcentral.
GUGCUUGCUUUGUCAGCAUAUAUACUAAAACUGAAACAAUACAAAAAACAUUAUUGUAACCCCUGUGCAAGGAUGACAUACAAAUUCUUAAAAUGUUUCAUAUUUUU